This 497-nucleotide ribosomal RNA is filed under the name uncultured bacterium. RNAcentral's name for it is "partial 16S ribosomal RNA". It matches the Rfam family "Bacterial small subunit ribosomal RNA", at positions 28 to 507 of the family's 1533-position model. The record is from RNAcentral.
GAUGAACGCUGGCGGCGUGCCUAAUACAUGCAAGUCGAGCGAACGGACGAGAAGCUUGCUUCUCUGAUGUUAGCGGCGGACGGGUGAGUAACACGUGGAUAACCUACCUAUAAGACUGGGAUAACUUCGGGAAACCGGAGCUAAUACCGGAUAAUAUUUUGAACCGCAUGGUUCAAAAGUGAAAGACGGUCUUGCUGUCACUUAUAGAUGGAUCCGCGCUGCAUUAGCUAGUUGGUAAGGUAACGGCUUACCAAGGCAACGAUGCAUAGCCGACCUGAGAGGGUGAUCGGCCAGACUGGAACUGAGACAGAGUCCAGACUCCGACAGGAGGAAGCAGUAGGGAAUCUUCCGCAAGGGACGAGAGCCGGACGGAGCAACGCCGCGUGAAUGAUGAAGGUCUUCGGAUCGUAGAACUCUGUUAUUAGGGAAGAACAUAUGUGUAAGUAACUGUGAACAUCUUGACGGUACCUAAUCAGAAAGCCACGGCUAACUACGUG